RNAcentral lists this long non-coding RNA (9058 nucleotides) under Equus caballus (horse). RNAcentral's name for it is "lncRNA (ENSECAG00000028311.3)". Lineage: Eukaryota; Metazoa; Chordata; Mammalia; Perissodactyla; Equidae. The record is from RNAcentral.
AUCUCGACAUGCACUUGAACUCACAGGUGAGACUGCCUUCCGUUCCCUUCUUGUGUUAUGGAGCGGCUCUCCGGCCAGCUCCGGCUGGGCAACUUGACUCUCCUGCAAAAAAUGGUCCUCAGGAGGGGCUACAGAGUUGGGGACAUCUCUGACACCCACUCUGGCCCCGUCUUGAAGGCUGAGGACCUUUCUUUAUUCCAGAGGAGCAGAGAGAGGAUACUUUGUGACCUGUAAAAUCCACAGACACUCUGUGGUCUGCACCGACUGCGGAUGCCGGUGCCGGCUGUUUGGAAUUCCGCUCGGAACGCAGGAACAGAGCUUGGCUUCCAUGCACCUGGCUGGGUCCUGCCCUUGCUGGAUUCUCUGAAGCAGAAGACUCAUCACUUAUUUAUCAUUCAUUUGUUAGAUUUAUUAAAAGUAAACAGGAUCCCUGACAGCUGCUGGGGGCUCGCAUACGGAUCCGGAACCAGGGAAGUGGGAAUAUAUGCUGCUCUCACGGACUUCUCGUAGAAUCGACCUCAGCCAAAGGCAGAACAGCAUGGGACUCCAGAGCCUGCCAAGCGGGAGGACAUCCCUGGAGUUCCCAGGAUGGCAAAGCCCCGUCUCCAGUUCUCAGGACUCACUGCUGGAUUCUUGCUCUGGCCAUGCAGCAAAGAUGCCCCUCUAAGCUGAGGAUGCUUCACCCGCCCUGGGCCUGUGAGGGGGAGGGUUGUGUCAUCUUCAUCUUUGAACACAGCAGCGCUUGGAGUCAGAGUGACACUCAGCUCAAUUCAUGGCUUUCCCUCUUUCUGGCUACACGGCAUUAAGUAAGCCGGGCUCUCUGAGCCUCUGUGUCCUAUUUGCAAACAAAGGAUAACAGAAGCACGUGCUCUGCAAGGUUGUUGUGAGAUUAAAGAAGAUGUUAUUUAAAGCUGUCAGCUCACUGAGGGCACAUAAUCAACCCCAAUGCAUGGUAGUUGUGAUUACGAUGUUAUUCUUUGCUGAGGAAGACUGGCCCUGAGCUAACAUCUGUGCCCAUCUUCCUCUACUCUAUAUGUGGGACACCUACCACAGCAUGGCCUGAUAAGCGGUGCGCAGGUCUACGCCUGGGACCCAAACCCAGGAACCCUGGGCUACUGAAGCAGAGCGUGUGAACUUAACCGCUACGCUACUGGGCCAGCCCCAUGAUUAUCAUUAUUGUUGAAUCUUUUGCACUGAGACACUGGGCAUUUGGUAAAUAUAAGUUCAGUGAAUGGUUCAUUCUUUGAUCCAACUCUUUCUGUGCCUCUGUGUGCCGGGCACUGUUCUGCAGUGAACAGACACAUCCCCUGACCUCACGGAGUUUACAGUUUGGUGGGACACAGGCAAUGAACACGUAAAUGAGCGAGUAAACUAUCUGAAAUGUAAUUUAGGAUAACAAUAGGUUCUGUGAAAGAAAUUAAGCAAGAUAAAGGAGACAGAACAAUGACUGUGUAUAAAGUGUGAGAGAGGGAGAGAGACACACAGACACGCCGACACACAGAGACACAGAGACAGAGAGAGAAGGCGACAAGUGAAGGAUGUUGGGGAGACAGUGAGUAAAUGAAUGCAGAGGGAUUUCCCCAGGUACCGUAAUGCACCUUGAUUCAUCUGACCGUGUAUUAACUCAACAACCUCUCCUCUCCUCGCCUGGUGGGUUUGUGCUGUAGAGUCUCCCUACACAGUGAGCUGAGAGAACUCCCUUGCCUACGCCUCCUCACUCCCUUUCAUUCUUGGCCUUGCAUCCUUUCUCCUAAAGUACCCACACCCAAACCCAGGACUUCACCUCAAAGAUGAACACUAUAACCUGGAAAUUCUCCUACCACACCUUUACUUGAGGGAGUCGGUGAAAUGCCCCUUUCUACGUCUGACUUCCGUACCUCCAGGCCUGCCUUCUGGAAGUGGACAGCUGUGGAUUCAAGACGUCUUGAAAUUGGAGGAGUCUUGCUUUCUGUUUGGCUCUGCAAAGCGUUACACAACUGGACUGCCAUAUUGAAUUAUUUUCAGCAGUAGAAAUUCUUCAGUGCCCCAACUCAGGCCAGGCUCUAAUUGGAAAGUAAUAAUGUUUGGGUGAAGCUCAGAUGCACUAAGUUGGUGCCGAGGGCUUGGUGGGUUUUGAGGUAAUUGGUUUUACUCAGUUGCUGAUGCUUCACUUGGACAAAUGAGAAAUCAAACUACAGCUCAGUUUGCAGAAAAGCCCAUGUCAGCAGUUUAGUCUGACUACUAUUUCAGAGCUUGUUAUGUUAUUGGCAAUAAAAUGCAACUAAUAUACUGUUAAUUAAUAUUGCAUCCUACAGCUAAUUUAUCACAUUAUUAAUCAGAGCGAUAAAGCCCAGGAAAAUGAGGCUCACCUUUCGUAUCUUUUCAUCUCUUUUAAACACUUGUAUUUAUGCACAAAUACAUGUGUUGGUCAACACUGCCAAGUGUUUGGUUGUUCCUGGACGAGUGUAUUCUAUUUUCAAACAGUAACUUGCCCCUCAGGAAUAUUUUAUUUAGCAAGACAAGACUUAAAGUGAAAGGGUAACCAUUUCUGAUCGUAACCUUGGCUUGUGCUUCGAGUAAUUAUCCUUUAAUUGCAUUACCCUAUUUGAAAUAGAGUUGUAAUUGGAAAAAAACAAUUUGACAUUCCCUGAUGCUUACUCUGACAUGCACUAUUUGCUUUUUAUUCAAAUGUAAAUUUUCUCCAUAAUACUAUCAAAGAAAGAAAAAAAAUUAAGCAAAAUUGAAAUGUCAGUAGCAAUUUCUGACAUGCAGGCAGUGUCAUUCACUGGUGCUGCUGUCUGGAAGGCAAGACUUUCAGUUCAGAUGGAAAAAAAACACCAAACUAUGAAAUUAGCAUGCUCAGAGGAGACGGAGAGAUGGAUGGCAGAGCCACAGACUGAGCCCUCUGGGACACGUGUCCACUUUGCACAAUGGCUUCAAAAUAUCAAACAAGCCGCCAGCUAUAAUUUUUGGAUGAAUAAUCCUUUUUGCUUUACAAUAAAAAAUAUUUUUUCCUUAAAACCCGAAGGGUGAUAAACUUAACUCCAGAGUUUUUUCACCUCAGGCUUCCUGAGGAGGUAAUUUUAAUUGGGGGCCUGUGAUAGGUGACAGGCAGCCGCUAAGACGGCUCUGAUGAUUCCGGUCUCCUGAUGGCCGCAACCUUUUGUAAUCUCUUCCCUUUGAGUGAGGGCUGGACCUCUUGACUUGGCUUCUAAUGAACAGAACACGGCAGAAGUAAUGGGAUGUCACUCCCGAGAUUAGGUCGCACAAAGUCCUGUGGCUUCUGCCUGGAGCUUGCCUGUGUUGCCCUCUCGCGUGCUCACUUGGAAGGAAGCCAGCCGCCAUGUUGGAGAUGCCGUGUGGUAACGGAGGCAGGCCUCUGGCCACAGCCAGCAAGAAGCUGAGGCCCUCAUCCAACAGCCCACGAAGAACCAAAACCUGUCCACAGUCUGGAAGCAAAUCACCCCUCAGCUGAGCUUUCAGGUGAGCCUGCAGCCCCAGCUGAAACCUGAUGGCAGCCUCAGGAGGGAGCUUCAGUCGGAGGCGCCCAGCUGAGUGGCAUUUGGGUUCCUGACCCACAGAAGUUGUGAGGUAAUAAGUGUUUGUUAUUUUAAGCUGCUAAGUUUCAGAGUAAUUUGUUAUGUGCAAUAGAUGACUAACACAGGGCAGGAGAGAGUGGUCAUCAAACAAAUAGAUAAUUGUAGAUAUGUCUGGCUUGCCACAUAGUUUGGUAGAGAAAGAGAUAAACAGGGGUGGAGGAAAACAACAUCCAGGAAUGUCUCCUCAAAUAAGUCAACCGACCUCACUGUGCCUCAGGGUCCAUGUCACGCAGGUGUAAUUUACUCACACGGUUUUCGUGAGUUGGGAAUGAAAUGAUGACUGCCAGAGCACAGCACACACACGAAGUGAUUGGGAUGAGACACGGCCUGUAGGGUGGACCACGCCUCUCUCAUCCCCUCCCGGCAUAGGGCUCGCAGGUGGAGGACGAGCACUGAGUCAGCCGCCUGAACUCCAAUGCAGGCUUUGUCACUACGUGGCUGUACGACCUUGAGAAAGCCCCGUAAGGUCUAUCAGCUCAGUGUCCUGAUCGGAGCAAACUUUGGGACACUGAGAGGGAGGGAAAUAGGACCAGUAGGUUCUGACUGUGAAGAGCAGCCUAAGAGCAUGGGUAUAGUAACUGGGACUCUGGUCAAAAGUGACAGAAGUCCAGUUUGAAACAGAUUAUCUCUAGGAUCUACUUUAGGUUUAAAAAUGUUGAUUUUUAGUAUUUGGCUUUAAGUAGGUUUCCAACAGACUGGCAUUGUAAUUUUCCUUCACCUAAGAAUCUACUUUUAAGGACAUUUGUGUGUCAGCAUGAGUGAAAAAAAGGUGUUCUUCGAGAGCAUGUUAGCUGAGUGAAUCAGUGAUGCACGUGGGCACUGAGUGAAGGCAGCGAUGUCACAUGCCAGGCCCAACAAGGUUGACCACCCGUGCCCGGCCCUGGUCAUCCGACUGCUCCCCGCAGCGUUUCUCCUCAUGCCCAGCCUAGAAGACAUGUCUUCAUUUCAGAAGGCAGCUCACAGCCUCUGGAGUCUGAGUUGUGCAGCUGUGACCUUUAUGAUGUCACGGGGUCAGCGCAAGCCCCUGCACCACCCGGAGAGGAGAGUCCUCAGCUUGUCCCCUUGACAGCUCACUCGCCUCACCCUGGCCCUGGCCUGUGCACAUCCCCUGGUCCCAUCACAGAGCAGUAGCACCACCGUCUCCCGCAGGCAGAGAGAAGGCUGCCCCAGCGGACGGUUCCGAGGAGCUCGUGGCGGUCUCUCUGACCACGCCGUCUUCCUCAUCCGCCUUCAUCAACAUCCAAACGUCUAAGCUUUGGGUCACUUCUAAAAGCAAGAAGGUUUGGGGAAAAGUAUACAGGAUUCGGAAACGAAAAAUGAGAGUUGAAAUUCAGGUUCUGGCAGAAAAUAACUUGGGGGAAUUUGGGCAAGUCAAUUAACUUACCUGGGCCCAGCUUCUCUGUUCUGUGAAGUGAGGAGAGAGUCUCUGCCCGUCUCUCUGCACGUUUGCGCGGGUCAGGUGAGAUACUGACUGAAAAUUCUUUUGCAAAGGGAAGAGCAGUACGUCAGCACUGAUGGAAAUGAUUAAGGGUAAACACGUUGCCCUCUGCAUUGGCAGUGAGGAGGCGUCUGUCCAACCCUUGUGGCUCUGGGAGGAAGGGAGAGAGGCUGAGAAAAUGCCAACUGAUGAGCACAGGGAGGGAGCAAGGCUCUAUGGACCAGGACCGUCAGAUGGAAACUGAAAGAAACCCAACCCAGGAUUUCUUAGGAAAAAGAAGAAGGAACUUUCUGAAAGGGCAUCAGAUCCUGGAGUAGAACAAGGGUGGUUAGUGCUCAGGGAAAAUGGAAAAGGGACUCAAAUUCAACCAGGAUUCACUUUUCUCCUGGGAGAGUGUCCUUCUCUACUCUCUAGACUGCCCUGGGAACCUGUCCUGGGAAGCUGACUGAUGGGCACUGCCAAUAUUCAAGUCCUACAGCUCCCCCACCCGGAGGAGGCCGUUCCUGUCCUUGGUUUCAGUUCUAAACAUUCCAGUGAUGGAUGCUGAUUGGCUUGGCUGAGGUCAGAAGCCCCUCCUGGACCACUUGAGCCAGGGAGGCAGAAUCUCCUGGGGACACCUAGCGACCGCCUUGUCCACGGGAUGGAAACACUGGGAGCCUCUGCCGGGGGGCUGGGUGCCACAUACAGUUGCUCAGGUUGUGCGGUGUGCUGUAUACAGUAGCUCCAUCGGACGGAGGAGAAAACCAGAUGCUGGGAAGCAAUGGAGCCAAGCCAGAGCUGGGGCUUCUGAUCCCAGAUGUCACGCCUCCCCCAUGGAGACAGUGCUGCCUGUGGGAUCUGAGAACCUUUGCAGAGCUUAGCGGGUAGUGCUCCUCCCGCGCCCCCAUGCAGACCCAUCUGAAGAGCACUCCAUCCCAUCCAACAGUUAUCUGCAUUGAAGCCAUCCAUCCUGCCUUUUACGUUUGUCUCCAGAUAAUGCACCUUUUCAACCAACACAGGGUCCUUGUUAACCACACAGAGAAAUGCCAGCUUGAUCUGUUCACCUUUGAAUAGAUAGAGCCUAAGAGGUAUAGGGGUUGCAUUUAACUUCCAAGUCCUAAUCUUGACGCUUUCUUAGGGAAAACUUCUUCAACUGCCUGUCUUCAAGAGACUUUCAAAGCCCUCCCUCAAGUGAUUGUUAAGUGAUACUAGAAAUACAUUUGCCUGCAUCUGGAGAUGGUGGGAAAUCACCAUUAUCAGCGUCUGCAAGAGCUCCUCAGCCGGCGCAUGUACUCCUCACACCAUCUCUACAGUGUAGGAACCACAUUCACAGUUCCAUGCAAGGAAAUGGAAGCUUCUAGAAACCAGGUGACUCACAAAGCCAGGAAGCAGUAGGGACGGCGUUCAAACCUGGGUUUGUCUGAAACCAAAGCCCAUGUUGCUUUCUCUGGAUUAGAACUACUCACAAUGGAAGCGUGGACUGGUUCUGGAAUAUUCCACCACCACCUGUGCUUCCACAGAAUAUCUGAUUUCCAGCUGAAAGAGCGACUCAUGUAAAAAGGAGGUGGUUGGGAAAGGGAACUUUUCUCUUCUCCACGUAGUUUUUAGAAGAAGCAUUCUUCCUCCGGAUCCCUGGAGCAGGUGGCCACUGCCUCCACCUCGGGAAAGUCGGAUUGGCACUGUUUCUCCAAGCGGGUGGACUGUUUUGGUGGAAGUUUGUGGUAAAACACUGCCCUCAUCUGGACUUCUGGGCAUCAUGCAAUGGGGUGGCUACAGAGGAUUCUCAGAAGAACAAAAGUGCGCCUGGGUUACGUGCCCAGAGACACAGUGAAAAGCUGCUCCUACUGUUCAUCAUGCGUACGCCUUACUCUUCGGACUGACUCCUCAGAAUGGAAGCAGAAAGACGUUUUGGAACUGGCUGAACAAUGAUUUCCUAUCCUUUCUUUUUUUCUUUUUUGAGGAAGAUUAGCCCUGAACUAACUGCUGCCAAUCCUCCUCUCCUCCUUGUGGAGGAAGACUGGCCCUGAGCUAACAUCCGUGCCCAUCUUCCUCCACUCUCAUCCUUUUUUACGGAGGUGGCUGAGUUCUGUGGACAGAAGUAGGUAAAAAUCUUUAACCACAGGACAGACUGAGUAAUCGAAGUAAUACACCUAAACCAUCAGACACAAAGAGCUCCAACGAACCCUGAAUAGCAAGAACUUCGCAUGUAUAAGAUGGAUGGAGAAAGAACAGAGUGACUAGAGGUCGGCAUUUGCGUUUUGGAGUCAAAUAGACUUCAUUUGGUUCUCUUCUCUUCCAUUUAUAAGCUAUGUGACUUAGGCAAGUUAUGAAACACUUUGAGCCUCAGUUUCUUCAUCUGUAAAAUCAUAAUUAUAAAAGUGGCAGCUUAAGUGAAAUAAGCCAGAGAAAGACAAGCACUGCAUGGUUUCGCUUACACGUGGAAUCUAAAAAGUUAAAAAAAGAACAAAACAACAACUCUUCGAAACAGAGAGUAGAAAAGUGGUUUCCAGGGGCUGGGGAUGAGGAAAAUAGGGAGAGGUUGGUGAAGUACGAACUUUCAGCUAUGAGAUGAGUAAGGAUCUAAUGUAAAACAUAGUGACCACAGUUGAUAACACUGUAUUGUAUAACUGAAAACAAAGCAGCAGCUAACGUAGGACAGGUAGGAAAAUGAAACGCAAUAGCACCCAGUAAUACCUCAGCGCGCAGCCAGCAGUCAGACUCGACAGCUGUGAACUGGCAUUUCACUAUUCUGCCUGCCCCGGUGAUUAAUUGUAUAGAAUCGGCUAUUUUAAAUUGGGAAGCACAGAAGGCAACAAUGUCGCAAUAUAUAAACAGUUUCUUUUUCCGGAGCGUCUCACUUUAUUUUUACCAAAGUUUUGGCUAACAGCAAAGGUUUAACAAAUCAAAUAUUUCUCUAAAUUAUCCAAAUUUUAGAGCUGUAUACGUUUUCAACUAAAUCAAUGAUAUCCCUGCAAAGAUGUGGAAGAGGAACUUCAGGAAUAUAUGAACCUAGGAACUGCACGGCAAAGAUAAUAUGUACUUUGUUUUGUCUAAUUUAAAAAUAUGUCGGCAUACUAAAAUAUCAAAAAAGAUGAAAGCAUCAAAACAUCCCAUCACAAAUGAUUAGGAAGAUCCAGCUUUCUAAAAUACUAUCAAGUAUCAGAAAGUCACUAUACACUUCAUCUUUUGGCACCACCACUAUCGGAAGUGACACACAGACAGCGCUGAGCUGUGCACGGUUCCCUGUGUCUGCCUUCUCCCCUGCAACCACACAGAAGGAAGGGUCCCGUAAGGGCACAAGGAAGAAGAACCGGAGCUGUCAAUGCUUACGUUAACUUUGCUAGCAACGUAUUAUAAAGCACAAAUUUGAGGCCAUGAUAUACCUUUAAUUGCCUGACCAGUGAAUUAAUUCAGACUCAGCUAUUAAAAAUAUCUGAUCAUUUCAAAAAAUGGGCAGAGGAUAUGAACAGACAUUUUUCCAAAGAAGAUACACAGAUGGCCAAUAAGCACCUGAAAAGAUGUUCAGCAUCACUGAUCAUCAGGGAAAAUGCAAAUCAAAACUACACUAAGAUACCACCUUACACCUGUUAAAACGGCUAUAAUCACUAAGACUAAAAAUAGCUAAUGUUGGAGAGGGUGUGGAGAGAAGGGAACCCUCAUCCACUGCUGGUGGGAACGCAAACUGGUGCAGCCAGUUACAACAUUCACUAAGGUGGGGGAGACGCCAUGCCCUCACGGGCCAGGACUUGGCGAUGCGCCACCCCUGGAACCACAAAGUGAGGUCAAAGGCAUACGAACUACGUGGGCUGAGAGCUUAAGGGUGGUUGCUGAACGACAAAUUUCAGUGCUGACACCAAAAGGGGAAGUUGAUACUGGGCACGCUUUAACUGGUGCGGUGGAGACAGAAUAAAAAUACCCAAAAACCCAAAGUAGAUUCAAGCAUGUUUCAAGGAGGAACCACGUGGAUUUGAUAAUGUGAACAGGAGAAAGCAGUCAAAAAUGACUGAGCCAUAUAUUCAUUGACUCACCUAAGGCCAGAGAUAGCAAAAAAAAAAAAUCCGAG